CAGACACUCAGAAGAGCUGUGUUUAUCGCUUCUCUAAGACGGUCAGCUCCUCUGAUGCUGGGACUUACUACUGUGCUGUUGUCACAUGUGGAACGAUAUUAUUUGGAGAUGGAACUCAACUGCAAAUUGAAACAGGUUGGGAAUUUAUUGCGCUGGCAAUAGCAAUAAUCUGCCUGGUCAUUUCAGUGAUUGUAAAUAUUGUUUUCACCUGUUUCGGAAGACCAAGACUAGCAUGUAAUAAAUUUAAAGACAGCACAUCUUCACAAGGAAGAAAUGACAACUUGACUCAACCACUGGAUGAUAUUAAUGAAGGUGAGCAGGAUCUGAACUAUGCAGCAAUACAUUUCCCUGGAAGGAAAGCUACAAAAGGAAGCAAUAAAAAAGAACAGAAGACUGAAGAAUGUGUUUAUUCUCAAGUUAAGCGCUGAUCUGAAUGUGUUAACCAACCCUCUUACAAAGUGAAUAAAAUCAUCUUGUGGGUUAUUCCACUGUAGAUAACUUUAAUAAUGUUUUGUGAUGCAAAUAAAUAAGGAUUUACAACCGCAA
Haplochromis burtoni (Burton's mouthbrooder) is the source of this 546-nucleotide long non-coding RNA. RefSeq lists it as uncharacterized. The record is from RefSeq and is a predicted model, not a curated record. Lineage: Eukaryota; Metazoa; Chordata; Actinopteri; Cichliformes; Cichlidae. The transcript has 4 exons.